AGGUGAUAUAUUGAAAAAAGGUAUAUGUAAUUAAUAUUAUUUUAAGGAUUACGAAUCAAAAUUUAAAUAAUGAUAAAAAGAUAAAAACUGUAAUAACAGGGAUCAAUCAUAAUCAUGAAAAUGAUAAAAAGAGAAACAAGUGGAAUGAAACAUCUGAGUAACUUGUUAAAUAACCAACAGGGAUAAUAUAAGUAACGGUGAGUGAAAGUAUUAAAAUCUUAAAGUAUUACCAAGAGGUAAGAAUAAAGUAGUUUCCAACUACUAAGAAAUAAAAUUAAAUUUUAGAUUAAAGUACCGCAAGGGAAAGUAAAGAAAUAGAAUAAUAAAGAGCAGUUAUAGUAUAACGUACCUCUUGUAUAAGUGCGACAAGAAGCAUUAAUAAUUAAUGUGGCUAAUAACCACCUAACCUUUCCAUUGGUUAGACCCUAUCUAUACAUGCUGAAGGAGUAAUCAUCAGUUUGAAGCUAUAGAGACAAUGUAACAUUAUUCCCAUUAAAAUUUAAUCGGAGUGCUAGGGUAAUAAUUCUAUGAUAAACGAAAGUGAACUUGCAUUGAGGCUUCGUAAAAAAUGGCCCCGCGAAGCGGGGCGAUACCGGCCUACCGGCCGGCAUUGUUAAGUCAAAUCUUUCUUAUACUGGGAUUUGAAAUGGAACAUAUUUAACACGAAGUAAAGCAUAGUAUCUAAGGAAUGUCCGAUAUAUGAUCGGUAAAUUAUGGGGUUGUAAACCCCAUGAUUAAUGGAAAAUUUAUUCCAUAUAUGAUUUUAAUUAUUAGUGAACUUGGUAAGCCCUUAGUUUUCUAAAUAUAAUGUUAUAUUUAGAGGUAACAUAUAAAGAUUAAUCUGAAAUUGUUAUAUCGAACUUAGGGUAUAAGAAGAUUCAAAAAGCGAAUGCAGAUUAGUAAUAGAUCUGAUAAAGUUUUAUAACUUAAUCCGAGAGGAUGCAGACUUGAAUCAUUGUGAUCUUCAUAAUUAUUUAGCUCUUUAAGAGCAAUAUGAUAAUCUAAAGCUUUCGGUAGAUUAUGAUAGAGAUCUUGUUAUAAUACAAGUGAAAAUAAUUAUUGCAAAAUAAAAGCCCACAUAGUGGGUAAUUGGCUAAUAUUGUAAUAUGGGCCCGCCGAAGGCGGGCCGAUAUUAUGGGGCAACGGAAACCCCACAUAUUACAAUUAAGUAAGAUUGCAUGAGCCGUAUGCGAUGAAAGUCGCACGUACGGUUCUAAGGGGGGGAAAAACUGAGAGGUUCUACCUAUCCCAAUUGGGCCAGUGAGUUAUAUAAUUUAGUGAAAAAUUGAAUAAAAAUUUUUAUAUAUAAAUAGAAAUAAAUUAAAUUAUAUAGGCCCGAAAGCAAACGAUCUACACAUGUCCAAGUGUAUAUACAACCUAUUUAAGGUUUAUAUAUGACUCAAUAGGUAAUUGUAGCAAUAAUUUCUAAAGAGGUGUGUGUAGCUGUGACAGACAAAUCUGGUUUGCAGAUAGCUGGUUUUCUGCGAAAUAUAUUUUAGUAUAGCCUUUAUACAUAUUUAAACUGGUACAGCACUUAAAUAACUUUGGGGAAUUAGAAUAUAAUUUUAUCAAAAUAUUUAAACCUCGGAAUCAGUUAAUAAUAAUAUAAGGAGUCAGACUUAUUGCGAUAAGGUAGUAGGUCGAGAAGGAAACAACCUAGACUAUUAAAUGAAUGUCCCAAAUAUUAAUUAAGUGAAUAAAAUCUAUCCUACUUUUAUUUUUUUAUAAAGGUUGAAAUUAUAUCUAAAAUAUAAUUUUACAUUAUUUUUUCUUCGGAAAAUUUAUACGGGGUAUUAAAUUAUAGACAAUUAGUAAGUGGGUUUGACAAUAAUCAACUUUUAAUGAACAUGUAACAAUGCACUAAUUUUAUAUAUAUAUAUAUUAAAAUAUAUAUAUUUAUUAAUAAUAGAGAAAAUAUAUCGGGUCUAAAUUAAUAACAGUAUUAUAGAUAUAAUCAUUAAGAUUAUAUGGUAGCAGAAUAUAUAAUGGAUAAUUAUAAAGAGAUUGCUGGCUUGAGUAACGAUAGAUAAUAUAAGAUUAUCCCCUUAUUCAUAAGGUUUUACUAUAAACGAACGGUCCCUAAGAUUAUUAUAGAAAUAUAAAAUUGAUGGGUGAAAGAACAAGAAAAUAAAAAUGAACCGUACUGUAGACCGACACAGGUAUGAUUAGCAAAAGGGAAUGGGAUAACUACUUUGAAUGAACUCGGCAAAAUAAAUCGUGCGACUGUUUACCAAAAACAUAGCUUAUUGCAUACUAGUAAUAGUAAGUAUAAUAAGUGAUAUCUGCCCGGUGUUAGUUUAAUAAAUAUUAUUAUUUAAUAGAUAAUUUUAUAAAAGACUGAUAAACGGCGGUCUUAUUGUGAGGAUCCGAAGGUAGCGGUGCGACAAGAUGAAAUGAGGGGGGUUCCCCUGAUUAUAUCCCCCUUUGGGGGAUAAAUUCAUAAUAAGAAUAAGGUGAAAACCCUUUACAAUAAAAGUCAUAUUUGUAAACCUAAUUCAACAUGCAUUAUGAGUAAUUAUUUUGUAUGAAGCUUGAAUGACAACGGCUAUAAACUUUAUCUGAUAUAAGUGAUCUGGUCUAGGUUAGAACGACAUGAUUAGUUUAUCAAAAUAGUGGAUUAAAAUCUCGUUAUAGGAAAGUAACAUGAUCAGUUUUUGGUUACUAUAUAUGAUUUAAAUAAUAUCGACGCUACGGAUAUUAUUAUAUGACUUAAUAAUAAAAAAAUCAUCGGGAUAUAGCUAUAAUCUAAAUCGUUCAUUAAAGUCUUAUUAUGGAAACUUGGUAAGCCUUAUACAUACCUAUAUUUUUAUAGGAAGUAAUAUAUAAAAUUAAUAAAAUGGAAAUUAUUAUAUAGUGUAGAAGGUAAAGGAUAAAUAUAAAAAGCGAAUGAUUUUAUGUAAUGUAAAAUAUAGAGUUAAAUGACUCAUUCUGAAAGGAAGCUAACUUAUAUAUAAGGCCAUAAAAAAUUUUAUGGUUUGAGCCGUAAGCAGUGAAAGUUGCACAUACGGUUCUUAAGGGGGGAAAGCUUGAGAGGGCCUACCUAUCCUAACAAAUUCAUUGACGUAUAAUUGACGUCCUGCAUGAAUGAAUAUACGAUGCGAUAACUGUAUCCAAAGUAGACUCAGUGAAAUAGCAAUUGCGGUGAAAUUAGUACUAUAAUAUAUAUAUUAUAUGCCGGGUUGGUGUAAAUCCAACUUUAUAGUUUUAAUAAUGCCGGCCGUAGGCCGGUAUCGCCCCGCGAAGCGGGGCGAUGAGAUAUUAAAUGUCUUAAAUGACAGAUAAGUAUAAUAAAUAAGAAUACAAUCGAAAUAAUACUUACCCCCUUAAAUAUAAGGGUAAAUUACAUAUAGGCAAUAUGUAGUUUAAUCACUAUAAAUAAAAAGGUGAAAACGGUUAAUGACAUCUUAGUUAAAGACCGUCGGCAGUUGUAUAUGUCGCUACAGACUGGUUCACCGAGGUUAGACUGAAAUGUCUGUCUAAAUGUACAGUCGGAUUCUGUAAUAUAAUAUUUAUAUUAUAUAGAGGUGAAAGAUGUAUAAAAAAUACAACUUAUUAGUACUUAAGUAAGAAACCUUUGUAGGUCAAACCUACUUAAAUUAAUCAGAAUUGGAAGAUGCCGUAUAUCCGUAGGUUGACAAAAAGACCCUAUGCAGCUUUACUAUAUCUUUAUUUUGAUUUUUAAUCAUAAUACUUUUAUGAUUAGCCUUUUUUCAUUUAUUUCAGCAGAUUAGGUUAUAUUUAUAUUUUAAAUCAAAUGAGAUACCUAUAUAAUUGAAAAAAGAAUCUAAUUAAUACAGUCAGAAUUCUAUAAUAUAGAAUGUUAGUUAUACUAAUUGACUUAAGUUUAACUUAUUUAAGAAAGAGUAAAGAGGUUAGUUUCGAUGGGGCGUCGACAUCAGCGAAAGCAUCUGAUGUGUCUAAUAACAAAGAUCUUGAUUAAUCAAGACUAAAUGUUUAAUUAAAUUUUUUAUUUAAUAGUAAAUUACGUACAAUAAUUCUAUAUGGUAAAUAGAAUAAAAGAUUAUAAGUAAGGAUAACAACAUAAUUGUGCGAUGAUAAUAACACUAACAAGUGGAAUUAGUACUUACGUAGAGUGUAGUGAACAGGCAUAAACAAAUGGUAUGGAUGUCGAUAACGGAUUAAAGUUACGCUAGGGAUUAAUUGUUAGUUCCUUUAUAUAGAAAUAUAUAUUUAUCUACGCUUUAGUUAGAUAACUUUCAUUUGAAAGAUAUUAAUUGGGUGAAUUACAUAGAACUCUUUAUAUAUAAAGACAAUAUGUAGCGAAACAUAUAUUAGUUAAAUUUUUAAGAUAUAUGAACGUUCAACGACUAGUAAUUGAGUAAACUAACAAUAAUAUUACCACGAGCGCCCAAUACCUAUGAAUUACCCCCCCCGCGAAGCGGGGGGGUUGAUUAUAUCCCAAAGGGGAUAAAUAAUUAGGUAAAGAAAUAGUCUGAACUAUAUAGUAAUAUAUAGAUGUUGUUAUUAAAAAAACAACAAAUAACAAAAUUGAACAGGGUAAUACCGCGUGAGAGUUGAUAUCGUCAGCGGUGUUUGCCACCUCGAUUAAUAACGAUAGUCGAGUUUAAAUAGGUUUAAUUGCAAGAAGUCUAAAAUAUAUGACAUAUUAGUUUGAUAUAUAAAAUGAUGAUUUGCAGCGAAUUAUUAUUUAUAUAAAUAAUAUAUAUAUAUUAUAAGAAUAAUAAACGUUCAACGACUAGUAGGUGAGUAAAAUAACAAUAUCCUACCACGAAAUACCUAGAAAUAUAUAUAUUUAUAUUUUAAGAUAUAGUCUGAACAAUAAUGAAAAUUAUUGAAGUUAAUAUUAAAUAAGUUAACGAUAACAAAUUGGUCGUCUAGACUCGUCCUCCUGGUCGCAGCAACUAGGUAGGGUAGGACUGUUCGUCCUCUAAGGAGUUACUUGAGAUGGGUUAAUUACGACGUGAGUCAGUAAUGAUUUUAUCAUCUAUGGAUUUUUUUCUUAUCUGUUGCCUUAAGUGUACGCAAGGAUAAUAAGGUACAUUCCUAUGGUUAAUUAAUAUAUUUAGCUAAGAAUGUUGUGUUUACAUAUUGAAUGCAUAUCAAAUAUUAAAUCCUUCAGAUAAGUUUAUACAUUAUAGACUAUAAUGUAUUAGUUAAUUUGUUAUAUUUGCAAAUAUACUAAUUUAUUUACUCAUAUUUUAUGAGUAUAAAAAAACAUAUACCU
This 5206-nucleotide ribosomal RNA is filed under the name Metschnikowia santaceciliae. Lineage: Eukaryota; Fungi; Ascomycota; Pichiomycetes; Serinales; Metschnikowiaceae. The record is from RNAcentral.